Molecule: ribosomal RNA, 253 nt
Filed under: uncultured bacterium
Lineage: Bacteria
Description: partial 16S ribosomal RNA
Rfam family: Bacterial small subunit ribosomal RNA
Source: RNAcentral
UACGGGGGGGGCAAGCGUUGUUCGGAAUUACUGGGCGUAAAGGGCUCGUAGGUGGCCAACUAAGUCGGACGUGAAAUCCCUCGGCUUAACCGGGGAACUGCGUCUGAUACUGGAUGGCUUGAGUUCGGGAGAGGGAUGCGGAAUUCCAGGUGUAGCGGUGAAAUGCGUAGAUAUCUGGAGGAACACCGGUGGCGAAGGCGGCAUCCUGGACCAACACUGACGCUGAGGAGCGAAAGCCAGGGGAGCAAACGGG